GAUGAACGCUGGCGGCGUGCCUAAUACAUGCAAGUCGAGCGAACAGACGAGGAGCUUGCUCCUCUGACGUUAGCGGCGGACGGGUGAGUAACACGUGGAUAACCUACCUAUAAGACUGGGAUAACUUCGGGAAACCGGAGCUAAUACCGGAUAAUAUAUUGAACCACAUGGUUCAAUAGUGAAAGACGGUUUUGCUGUCACUUAUAGAUGGAUCCGCGCCGCAUUAGCUAGUUGGUAAGGUAACGGCUUACCAAGGCAACGAUGCGUAGCCGACCUGAGAGGGGGAUCGGCCAAACUGGAACUGAGACAGGGACAAGACUCCUACGGGAGGCACCAGUAGGGAACCUUGCGCAAUGGGCGAAAGCCUGCCGGAGCAACGCCGCGUGAGUGAUAACGUUCUUCGGAUCGUAAAACUCUGUUAUUAGGGAAGAACAAAUGUGUAAGUAAAUAUGCACGUAUUGACGGUACCUAAUCAGAAAGCCACGGCUAACUACGUG
This 497-nucleotide ribosomal RNA is filed under the name uncultured bacterium. Its description in RNAcentral is "partial 16S ribosomal RNA". It matches the Rfam family "Bacterial small subunit ribosomal RNA", at positions 28 to 507 of the family's 1533-position model. The record is from RNAcentral.